RNAcentral lists this ribosomal RNA (253 nucleotides) under uncultured bacterium. Its description in RNAcentral is "partial 16S ribosomal RNA". It matches the Rfam family "Bacterial small subunit ribosomal RNA", at positions 524 to 776 of the family's 1533-position model. The record is from RNAcentral.
UACGUAGGGUGCGAGCGUUAAUCGGAAUUACUGGGCGUAAAGCGUGCGCAGGCGGUUUUGUAAGACAGAUGUGAAAUCCCCGGGCUUAACCUGGGAACUGCAUUUGUGACUGCAUUGCUGGAGUGCGGCAGAGGGGGAUGGAAUUCCGCGUGUAGCAGUGAAAUGCGUAGAUAUGCGGAGGAACACCGAUGGCGAAGGCAAUCCCCUGGGCCUGCACUGACGCUCAUGCACGAAAGCGUGGGGAGCAAACAGG